This 586-nucleotide long non-coding RNA is filed under the name Ficedula albicollis (Collared flycatcher). RNAcentral describes it as "lncRNA (ENSFALG00000025105.1)". Lineage: Eukaryota; Metazoa; Chordata; Aves; Passeriformes; Muscicapidae. The record is from RNAcentral.
CUUUGAUUUAUAUCUUCUAUAUUUUCUUUUUUGGACUAGCUAGUACCAUCAAACCCUUGCCUGCCUUGGCUCUGAAUGCAGCAGUCUCUUUCCAGGGUAAUUCCAGGAUGGCUUGUCCUACAUCAUCUCAGAGAGGCUGCAGCUCUCCUUCUGUCUUGCCUGGUUACAAGUGAGUCUAACAGCUUUCCAAAAUCCCAGAUCUGUUGGAGAUUUUACCCAUUCCUUCCUUGGAAGUUGAGGAUCCCAAGCAUUUUCCCAAACUGAUUGAUGCUAUCCCUCAUAAAUCCAGGACUCCAAGAAGAACUGCUAGCCAUGUAUGGGACCCCUGGGCAAAUGAUACAGCACAAGUCCAUUGGGCAAACACACCGAGUAGAUACAGGAAAAUGAGCAGGUACACUACCCUGGGAAUAAGUAACAUGGAAUGUGACACCUCUGGGGACCAAAUGGUAGUACAAAAUAUGCAUGCAGAACUGUGGGCAACCCAAAGGGAUAAGCAUCUGUGCUUACAACAUAUAAUUACUAAUUUACAAUUACUAAUGCCACAUUCAGAAAUUAUGUUUUAAAAUCGGUAUUUUUUGUUUAACAU